Molecule: non-coding RNA, 164 nt
Organism: Hydra vulgaris (swiftwater hydra)
Lineage: Eukaryota; Metazoa; Cnidaria; Hydrozoa; Anthoathecata; Hydridae
Source: RefSeq, a predicted model, not a curated record
ACCCAACUGUUUGUCAUCAAUGCCAUCUAUAUCAUGUGAUGUAACAGUGACUGCUAUCACUUUAAAAAAAAACAGUUAGUUAAAGUCUUCUUCAAUCUGUUUCACUCAUUUAGUACGAAUCAGCAGUGAACUUAUACAGAAAUUAUCAAACAAGUUGGAAGACU